GUGUGGAACUUGGGAUUCGAACGGCAGGCGGGAAGUGCUCUAGCAGGGGAGUCUGACCUUGUGAGGGAAUACCUGUGUCCCCCCUUUUUUCCCCUUUUUACCCAAUAAAACCCUGCCUUACUCACCCUUUAAAUCAUCUGCGAGCCUGAAUUUUCAUGGCCGUGGGACGGACAAGAACUUUAUCUUCAGCUGAACUAAGAAAAAGUCCUGCAACAUUUUUGGCGCGCAAUGUGGGGGCACCAGAAGCGGGCACCGUUGAGCUGUUGCAACUGUUCUGCUGGAGCCUUAUGUAUGUGGUUGAAACCACCUGUACUACUGGAAUGAAAGCACCUUUACAGAAGAGGCAAUGCAAGUUGUAUUCAUCACAUGUGUAGAAUGAAUUAAGAUUUAUGCCAGUUGCAAAGAAGAAUAUUGGCUCACUAUUUUUCCUCUGGGCAUGUUGAACCUAUUUCUUUAUCUUGAUUCAAAUAGAUUUCUAUCCAAUACAAAUAUUGGCAAAAUAAAUGAAGCAAAGUAAAUGCAGAAUGGACUGAGGUGGAAAUGUAAAUCAGUCCAUGUUACUCACCUCGGAGAAGCAGAAGUACGAUUUACUAUUGUUGCUUGCUUACUUACUCUUAUCAAUUUCUAUGAGAGCAGCAUAUGAUCCCCUGUUGAAGACAGACAAGUACAUCUUUCUGGUGGCUCCUAGACCUGGCAUUGGGAACAGAAGAUUAUCAGUAUGAUCCGUACGCUUAAGGAAAGAUCUCAUAUUAUUGAAAUGAAUAUUUUAUUUGAUAAAUUGAACUACAGAAUAAAGUACUUUUAACAAAC
This is a long non-coding RNA of Homo sapiens (human), 810 nucleotides long. Ensembl annotates it as MIR924 host gene. Its record names the gene MIR924HG. The record is from Ensembl. Lineage: Eukaryota; Metazoa; Chordata; Mammalia; Primates; Hominidae.